Molecule: unclassified non-coding RNA, 1113 nt
Filed under: Stylophora pistillata
Lineage: Eukaryota; Metazoa; Cnidaria; Anthozoa; Scleractinia; Pocilloporidae
Description: fasciculation and elongation protein zeta-2-like, transcript variant X2
Source: RNAcentral
CAACAUGGCGGGCAGCGAAGACGGAGGACCUUCGGACGAAAAUAGUGAAUGGUCUGAUUUUAGUAGCAACAGCUCCACGAUUGACACUUUUGACGAUCUUCAUUUUGGCACUAAAUCUCAGGAUCCUUCCAGUAUCAUCAGUACCCUUUUCACCUGUUUUCCCUUGCCAUUAGAUUUCCAGUCAGCUGACUUUUGUGACCGAGCGCAUUGCGCCAACGAAAGAAUUCUCGACCGUGUAGAUCCUGCGUUGGAAACUUAUGGCGAACCUUUGGUUUGGCGGGGAUGUGAAACAGAAGUGAAGUUCUUCAAGGCGUUACAUCUUCGUCCGUGUAGUAACGGUAAUCAUCUUCUACCUGGGCAAGUUGAGGAGGACUCAAACUCUGUCUCAACAAGAACUUUUGACUUUCAUAAAUUUGCGGAGAAAUUCAACGCACAAUUGACUUUAAAUAGUGGUUCGGAUGAACUUACAGAAGAUCCUGCUUUAGCAAAUCCAUCUGAACAACUCUCUAAGACUGUUGAUUCUGAUAGUGAAAACGAGGAUGAAAUUUUCUUGGUCUUCAGAGGGAAGCCAAAUAAUCGGCAGUCAACUUUUGAUGAGGGUCAAGCUGCAGCAGGGCUUUCUGAACUUUCAAAUGGAGAACUCUUAGAUUUAAAACAAGAGAUGGCUGCUUAUGUCAAAGAGUACUCUGAUAUUCUUGUGGAAGAAUUAACAUUGAGAGAAGAAUUGGAAAGGGAAAAAGAAAUUAAAAACAAAUUUAUAUCAACAUUAUUAGCUGUCCAGUCCAAAAUACGAGAAUCACAGUCAGGUCAAGGAAAAGGAAAAAAGGGUUCCUCCGUGUAUUCUGGGAAAUAUUUAACCACAGUGAUUCCUUAUGAUGAUUGUGAUGGAGGUCCAAGCAAUAAAGUACUACUACAACUGAUUGAAAGAUUCGAAUGCACUUCUUUGAUUGUCUGGCACUAAAGUCUUCAAUAAAGAUGUUUGAUAAUGGUGAACCAAAAGCCCACAACUGACGAAACAUUCGAAUCCCAUCAUGGAGGCCCUCAUUGCUGACAGCCCAAUAGUUCCUGGUUUGUUAACUGAAUAUAUAUUAAAAGUGCUGUGUGCUGAAGAUU